RNAcentral lists this ribosomal RNA (125 nucleotides) under Pectinodesmus pectinatus. Lineage: Eukaryota; Viridiplantae; Chlorophyta; Chlorophyceae; Sphaeropleales; Scenedesmaceae. The record is from RNAcentral.
CACCCUGGCACUAAGUUGAUUUUCCCUGCUAGACUUCCAACAAGUUUGUCAACUUCUUCAGAGUUUCACAGCCAAGUUCGGGAUGGAUUGGCGUGGUUCCACUGAAGCAUAGAGCACCAGAGUAU